RNAcentral lists this ribosomal RNA (444 nucleotides) under uncultured bacterium. RNAcentral describes it as "partial 16S ribosomal RNA". It matches the Rfam family "Bacterial small subunit ribosomal RNA", at positions 354 to 796 of the family's 1533-position model. The record is from RNAcentral.
GUAGGGAAUAUUGGGCAAUGGUCGGAAGACUGACCCAGCCAUGCCGCGUGCAGGAAGACGGCCCUCUGGGUUGUAAACUGCUUUUAUCUGGGAAGAAAAAGGCCAUGCGUGGCAAAUUGCCGGUACCAGAUGAAUAAGCACCGGCUAACUCCGUGCCAGCAGCCGCGGUAAUACGGAGGGUGCGAGCGUUGUCCGGAUUUAUUGGGUUUAAAGGGUGCGUAGGCGGCUGAUUAAGUCAGCGGUGAAAGACUUCGGCUUAACCGGAGCAGUGCCGUUGAUACUGGUUGGCUUGAGUGUCGGAGGGGUACAUGGAAUUGAUGGUGUAGCAGUGAAAUGCAUAGAUACCAUCAGGAACACCGAUAGCGAAGGCAUUGUACUGGCCGACAACUGACGCUGAUGCACGAAAGUGUGGGGAUCGAACAGGAUUAGAUACCCCGGUAGUCC